Molecule: ribosomal RNA, 77 nt
Filed under: Legionella parisiensis
Lineage: Bacteria; Pseudomonadati; Pseudomonadota; Gammaproteobacteria; Legionellales; Legionellaceae
Description: partial 23S ribosomal RNA
Source: RNAcentral
GAAGCGCAGUAAUGUGUGAAGCUAACUUGUACUAAUUGGCUGAUUGUCUUGACCAUAUAAUCUGAGUUACUUUAGAU